UACUGAGUUACCGCUCUACAACCCUUUGUGAACAUACCUAACCGUUGCUUCGGCGGGCAGGGGAAGCCUCUCGCGGGCCUCCCCUCCCGGCGCCGGCCCCACCACGGGGACGGGGCGCCCGCCGGAGGAAACCAAACUCUAUUUACACGACGUCUCUUCUGAGUGGCACAAGCAAAUAAUUAAAACUUUUAACAACGGAUCUCUUGGUUCUGGCAUCGAUGAAGAACGCAGCGAAAUGCGAUAAGUAAUGUGAAUUGCAGAAUUCAGUGAAUCAUCGAAUCUUUGAACGCACAUUGCGCUCGCCAGCAUUCUGGCGAGCAUGCCUGUUCGAGCGUCAUUUCAACCCUCAAGCACCGCUUGGUUUUGGGGCCCCACGGCAGACGUGGGCCCUUAAAGGUAGUGGCGGACCCUCCCGGAGCCUCCUUUGCGUAGUAACUAACGUCUCGCACUGGGAUCCGGAGGGACUCUUGCCGUAAAACCCCCAAAUUCUUUACAGGUUGACCUCGGAUCAGGUAGGAAUACCCGCUGAACUUAAGCAUAUCAAUAAGCGGAGGAA
Molecule: ribosomal RNA, 556 nt
Filed under: Colletotrichum acutatum
Lineage: Eukaryota; Fungi; Ascomycota; Sordariomycetes; Glomerellales; Glomerellaceae
Description: eukaryotic LSU rRNA
Rfam family: 5.8S ribosomal RNA (bases 184-337)
Source: RNAcentral